CUCCAGCUUCUAGAAAGGCAGCAGUACAGAGGAAAGCUCCAGACCUUGCGAAGAAGCUAACCAUGGGCAGUCUGAAGACCAUAUUCCUGAUCGCCCUCAUCCUGACUCUCUCUUAUCAAUACACAGAAGCACUGCGUCCUCGGAUUCCGUCAGACUGUUGUGAGAGUUAUAGGAUGGGAGGACAAAUUCCCCGCAACAGAGUGCAGAAUUACUACAGGACUCCCAGUGACUGCCGCUUAGAUGCUGUUGUGUUUGUUGCAAGGAAUAGAAGGCUUGUCUGUUGUGAUCCCAGGCUGUCAUGGGUGAAAAAAUUAAUGUCACAGCUGAGAGAAAUUAAACCAUAAUUUUGGAGAAACAAAGGAAAAACCUCCGCCAAACACGAAGGAAGACAAAGAGCCACUCUCUUCCUUUCCAGCUUCUCUGCUUCCUAUGCUUUUUUGCCACUCACAGGCAAACAUCUAUAAACAUUUAAACAGCACUGAAAAUGGUGUAGCUGUGGCCACUGAUGCACUGUCAGAAAUGCAACAUCAAAGAAGAGGAUGCCAAUUUGCAUAAUGAAUAUGUAUACAUGUAAAUUAAGAUAUACCGUAACUGUUAUAGUUUAACUAGAAAUUCAAUGCAUCUCACCAUUAUGGGGAAGGCUGUGAUCUAGGUGAUAAGCAACUACAAGGCCUCUGUUCCUUUCUGUUUUAAAGGGUCUUUUAGAGUCUUCUGAAGAAUGGUAGUAUAUAAAUAUAAUAAAUAAUAAUCUUUAACUGGAAUAGGUUUAAGGAGAUGUAUCUCCUCCAACAACCUUCCAAAUAUAGAAGGGUCCGUCAGAUUACGUAUAUAGGCUAGUUAAUGCUACAUGUUUCCCGAUCUCCUCCCCAAAAUCUAGGAAUUGUAGUUUGUGGCCUACUAAGAAAUGCCUCAGUCUUUAUUCAGUGACAUUUCCCAGAAUUGGUUGGGCUGGAAACCACAAUCAUUAUUAGACCAUGGUCAACACUGCUUUAAAACUGAACUGCAGACACAGACAUGGUCAUGGAAGGAGCAGAAUAACGGGCAGAGUCUUUGCGGGCCCCUUCUCCACCAUUUGCACUGUGGCCUUUCUGAAUUCGUUCAUAAAAUUAGCUAACACCAGAUUACGUAUGAAACCAUCAAUAGCAACUGGCAAGCAAGCUGUAUUUAUGACUGUCAUAUAUACUCAAUGCCGCUGCCAUCGCUGGGCUAUUGACGCCUCCUUGCUUCCUUGGCCCUUCCUGGCUUCCUCCCUUCCCCCAUUUCUUCCCUGCAAGUACCUGCACUGUCCAAAGCAGCUCUCAAAGGGGGUCUUCCCCCCCUCCUCCUGCUACAGAAAUUAAGCUGAAGACUUCUUGGAGCAGGACCUUUUCCAUGCUUGGCAAAGUCCCUCCUGAAGGAAGCCUGGCAACAGCCUCAGUCAAGAAGACCUUUUGUUCUGUUAGGCUGCAAUUCUUCCUGCUGACUGACAUUAGCUUAAACUUUCCUAUAUUCAUGGAAGUUUUAAAGAAGAAAGA
Non-coding RNA from Zootoca vivipara (common lizard), 1514 nucleotides. The record is from RefSeq and is a predicted model, not a curated record. Lineage: Eukaryota; Metazoa; Chordata; Lepidosauria; Squamata; Lacertidae.